CACCUUCGUGGUGUGACUGCGUACCUUUUGUAUAAUGGGUCAGCGACUUAUAUUCAGUAGCGAGGUUAACCGCAUAGGGGAGCCGUAGAGAAAUCGAGUCUUAAUAGGGCGUAUAGUUGCUGGGUAUAGACCCGAAACCAGGCGAUCUAUCCAUGAGCAGGUUGAAGGUUGGGUAACACUAACUGGAGGACCGAACCCACUGUCGUUGAAAAGCCAGGGGAUGACUUGUGGAUAGGGGUGAAAGGCUAAUCAAGCCUGGUGAUAGCUGGUUCUCCCCGAAAGCUAUUUAGGUAGCGCCUCGGACGAAUACCAUUGGGGGUAGAGCACUGUUUCGGCUAGGGGGUCAUCCCGACUUACCAAACCGAUGCAAACUCCGAAUACCAAUGAGUACUAUCCGGGAGACAGACUGCGGGUGCUAACGUCCGUAGUCAAGAGGAAAACAAUCCAGACCGCCAGCUAAGGCCCCAAAAUCAUAGUUAAGUGGGAAACGAUGUGGGAAGGCAUAGACAGCUAGGAGGUUGGCUUAGAAGCAGCCACCCUUUAAAGAAAGCGUAAUAGCUCACUAGUCGAGUCGGCCUGCGCGGAAGAUGUAACGGGGCUCAAACCAGGCACCGAAGCCGCGGAUUCACACUUAUGUGUGAGUGGUAGGGGAGCGUUCUGUAAGUCUGCGAAGGUGUAUCGAGAGGUAUGCUGGAGAUAUCAGAAGUGCGAAUGCUGACGUAAGUAACGAUAAAGGGGGUGAAAAGCCUCCUCGCCGGAAGACCAAGGGUUCCUGUCCAACGUUAAUCGGGGCAGGGUGAGUCGACCCCUAAGGCGAGGCCGAAAGGCGUAGUCGAUGGGAAACAGAUUAAUAUUUCUGUACUUCCGCUAACUGCGAUGGAGAGACGGAGAAGGCUAGGCUAGCGCGGCGUUGGUAGUCCGCGUUUAAGGUGGUAGGUGGGUGACUUAGGCAAAUCCGGGUCACUAUACACUGAGAGCUGAUGACGAGUCCCCAAGGGGAUGAAGUAGUUGAUGCCAUGCUUCCAGGAAAAUCUUCUAAGCUUCAGGUUAGCGGGAAUCGUACCCCAAACCGACACAGGUGGUCGGGUAGAGAAUACCAAGGCGCUUGAGAGAACUCGGGUGAAGGAACUAGGCAAAAUAGAACCGUAACUUCGGGAGAAGGUUCGCUCUUGAUGGUGAAGUCCCUUGCGGAUGGAGCUGUCGGGAGUCGCAGUGACCAGAUGGCUGGGACUGUUUAUCAAAAACACAGCACUCUGCAAACACGAAAGUGGACGUAUAGGGUGUGACGCCUGCCCGGUGCUGGAAGGUUAAUUGAUGGGGUCAGCCGCAAGGCGAAGCUCUUGAUCGAAGCCCCAGUAAACGGCGGCCGUAACUAUAACGGUCCUAAGGUAGCGAAAUUCCUUGUCGGGUAAGUUCCGACCUGCACGAAUGGCGUAAUGAUGGCCAGGCUGUCUCCACCCGAGACUCAGUGAAAUUGAAAUCGCUGUGAAGAUGCAGUGUACCCGCGGCUAGACGGAAAGACCCCGUGAACCUUUACUGCAGCUUGACAUUGAACUUUGACCUUACUUGUGUAGGAUAGGUGGGAGGCUUUGAAGUUGGAACGCUAGUUCCAAUGGAGCCGUCCUUGAAAUACCACCCUGGUAAUGUUGAGGUUCUAACUCUGUCCCGUUAUCCGGGACGAGGACCAUGUCUGGUGGGUAGUUUGACUGGGGCGGUCUCCUCCUAAAGAGUAACGGAGGAGUACGAAGGUGCGCUCAGACCGGUCGGAAAUCGGUCGUAGAGUAUAAAGGCAAAAGCGCGCUUGACUGCGAGACAAACACGUCGAGCAGGUACGAAAGUAGGUCUUAGUGAUCCGGUGGUUCUGUAUGGAAGGGCCAUCGCUCAACGGAUAAAAGGUACUCUGGGGAUAACAGGCUGAUACCGCCCAAGAGUUCAUAUCGACGGCGGUGUUUGGCACCUCGAUGUCGGCUCAUCUCAUCCUGGGGCUGAAGCAGGUCCCAAGGGUAUGGCUGUUCGCCAUUUAAAGAGGUACGCGAGCUGGGUUUAGAACGUCGUGAGACAGUUCGGUCCCUAUCUACCGUGGGCGCUGGAAAUUUGAGAGGAUCUGCUCCUAGUACGAGAGGACCAGAGUGGACGAACCUCUGGUGUACCGGUUGUGACGCCAGUCGCAUCGCCGGGUAGCUAUGUUCGGAAGGGAUAACCGCUGAAAGCAUCUAAGCGGGAAGCCUACCUCAAGAUAAGAUUUCCCUAGGAAUUUAUUCCUCUAAAGAGCCGUUCGAGACUAGGACGUUGAUAGGUUGGGUGUGGAAGCACGGUGACGUGUGAAGCUGACCAAUACUAAUUGCUCGUGAGGCUUGACUAU
Molecule: ribosomal RNA, 2362 nt
Filed under: soil metagenome
Description: bacterial LSU rRNA
Rfam family: Bacterial large subunit ribosomal RNA
Source: RNAcentral